CGCACAUUGCGCCCCCUGGUACUCCGGGGGGCAUGCCUGUCCGAGCGUCAUUGCAACCUUCAAGCGCAGCUUGGUAUUGGGCCUUCGCCUCCCGCGGGGCGUGCCCGAAAAGCAGUGGGUCCCCGGCGUGACUUUGGGCGUAGUAAAUUCUCUCCCGCCUUGAAAGUGACGCCGUGGUGGCCCAGACAACCCCCCAUCUCCAACGAUUGACCUCGGAUCAGGUAGGGAUACCCGCUGAACUUAA
Molecule: unclassified non-coding RNA, 244 nt
Filed under: Bacidia schweinitzii
Lineage: Eukaryota; Fungi; Ascomycota; Lecanoromycetes; Lecanorales; Ramalinaceae
Description: partial contains 5.8S ribosomal RNA, internal transcribed spacer 2, and large subunit ribosomal RNA
Source: RNAcentral